GAAAUUUGGUACAGACGUGGCUUGCAUCCCGGGGAAGGACAUAGGCUAUUUUUUAUCCCGGAAAUUAAAGAGUUCCUACGGGAUUUUUAUAAAACCAAAUCCAUGCGGACGAAGUCUCGUUUAUCAUCUAGUCUAGUAAGAAA
Maniola jurtina (meadow brown) is the source of this 143-nucleotide long non-coding RNA. RefSeq lists it as uncharacterized. Lineage: Eukaryota; Metazoa; Arthropoda; Insecta; Lepidoptera; Nymphalidae. The transcript is spliced from 3 exons. The record is from RefSeq and is a predicted model, not a curated record.